GCCUGCAGCCAUACCACCCUGAACACACCUGAUGUUGUCUGAUUUUGGAAGCUAAGCAGGGUCAGGCCUGAUUUAAUACUUGGUGGGAGAUAUAUGAGGAGUUUUCAGCA
RNAcentral lists this ribosomal RNA (110 nucleotides) under Nomascus leucogenys (northern white-cheeked gibbon). The record is from RNAcentral. Lineage: Eukaryota; Metazoa; Chordata; Mammalia; Primates; Hylobatidae.